GUCGAGCGGGGGAACGAAGCUUGCUACUGGACCUAGCGGCGGACGGGUGAGUAAUGCUUAGGAAUCUGCCUAUUAGUGGGGGACAACAUUCCGAAAGGAAUGCUAAUACCGCAUACGUCCUACGGGAGAAAGCAGGGGACCUUCGGGCCUUGCGCUAAUAGAUGAGCCUAAGUCGGAUUAGCUAGUUGGUGGGGUAAAGGCCUACCAAGGCGACGAUCUGUAGCGGGUCUGAGAGGAUGAUCCGCCACACUGGGACUGAGACACGGCCCAGACUCCUACGGGAGGCAGCAGUGGGGAAUAUUGGACAAUGGGGGGAACCCUGAUCCAGCCAUGCCGCGUGUGUGAAGAAGGCCUUAUGGUUGUAAAGCACUUUAAGCGAGGAGGAGGCUACUAGUAUUAAUACUACUGGAUAGUGGACGUUACUCGCAGAAUAAGCACCGGCUAACUCUGUGCCAGCAGCCGCGGUAAUACAGAGGGUGCGAGCGUUAAUCGGAUUUACUGGGCGUAAAGCGUGCGUAGGCGGCCAUUUAAGUCAAAUGUGAAAUCCCCGAGCUUAACUUGGGAAUUGCAUUCGAUACUGGAUGGCUAGAGUAUGGGAGAGGAUGGUAGAAUUCCAGGUGUAGCGGUGAAAUGCGUAGAGAUCUGGAGGAAUACCGAUGGCGAAGGCAGCCAUCUGGCCUAAUACUGACGCUGAGGUACGAAAGCAUGGGGAGCAAACAGGAUUAGAUACCCUGGUAGUCCAUGCCGUAAACGAUGUCUACUAGCCGUUGGGGCCUUUGAGGCUUUAGUGGCGCAGCUAACGCGAUAAGUAGACCGCCUGGGGAGUACGGUCGCAAGACUAAAACUCAAAUGAAUUGACGGGGGCCCGCACAAGCGGUGGAGCAUG
RNAcentral lists this ribosomal RNA (886 nucleotides) under Acinetobacter sp. KSA32. RNAcentral describes it as "bacterial SSU rRNA". It matches the Rfam family "Bacterial small subunit ribosomal RNA", at positions 61 to 941 of the family's 1533-position model. The record is from RNAcentral. Lineage: Bacteria; Pseudomonadati; Pseudomonadota; Gammaproteobacteria; Moraxellales; Moraxellaceae.